RNAcentral lists this ribosomal RNA (591 nucleotides) under Triticum aestivum (bread wheat). Its description in RNAcentral is "partial small subunit ribosomal RNA". The record is from RNAcentral. Lineage: Eukaryota; Viridiplantae; Streptophyta; Magnoliopsida; Poales; Poaceae.
AUGCCUGGGAGGUCGACCAUGGAAGCCAUUUUCUUGGUACGACAACUUAUGGAGAGAUAUAGGGAGCAUAAGAAGGACUUGCAUAUGGUGUUCAUUGACUUGGAGAAGGCCUAUGAUAAGAUACCGCAGAAUGUCAUGUGGGCCUUGGAGAAACACAAAGUCCCAGCAAAGUACAUUACCCUCAUCAAGGACAUGUACAAUAAUGUUGUGACAAGUGUUCGAACAAGUGAUGUCGACACCGAUGACUUCCCGAUUAAGAUAGGACUGCAUCAGGGGUCAGCUUUGAGCCCUUAUCUUUUUGCAUUGGUGAUGGAUGAGGUCACAAGGGGUAUACAAGGAGAUAUCCCAUGGUGUAUGCUCUUUGCGGAUGAUGUGGUGCUAGUUGACGAUAGUUGGACGGGGGUAAAUAGGAAGUUAGAGUUAUGGAGACAAACCUUGGAAUCGAAAGGGUUUAGGCUUAGUAGAACUAAAACCAAGUACAUGAUGUGCGGUUUCAGUACUACUAGCUGUGAGGAGGAGGAGGAGGUUAGCCUUGAUGGCCAGGUGGUACCUCGGAAGGACACCUUUCGGUAUUUGGGGUCAAUGUUGUAG